UGGAAGAAGGCCUUCGGCGUAAACCACUGUCGAAGGGAAGAUAUUGACGGUCCCUUGGAGGAAGCCCCGGCUAACCUACGUGC
This 83-nucleotide ribosomal RNA is filed under the name uncultured bacterium. RNAcentral describes it as "partial 16S ribosomal RNA". The record is from RNAcentral.